AAUUCAAGUACCUCAAAAUUUGUAAGUGCCCCAGCAUUGGCUUUCAAUCUGAAAAAUGUCCAAAAAUACUUGAUCAGCACUAGAAAAACUACAAUAAUAAUUGUUAAUGCCAAAAUGUAAGUGCCAAAAGAGUGACCAACUCAAAAAGUUAAAUUACAUACAUCUUCAUCAGGAAUCCGCCUUUCAGUUCCUAGUUAUCACACUUACUAUGUAGAGAAGCAAGACCAAGCUGCACGCCUGCAUUUUACCCUACCUCAUUUAAAUAUAGUGUAUUACAAUGCUAAUGUAACUUAUACCAAGCAGACCAAAUCAUAAAAAGACCAGCCAAAAUUCGCGAGAGUAAGCACAUGGACAAAAGACAGAAGUUUUACAAAGACAGAAAAUGUCAACUUAUAUCUACCGCAAUGAGUAAAAACAGCGUGUUCAACUGAUGUCCUAGGAAAAGCAAUUAACAUGCUAAUGACAAAUUUUAAAACAAGACACGGACAACUUCCAUCUUGAUAUGGAUGAACCUACAAAAACCCUACUAACUGAGGCUUUGAGCACAAACACUCUAUAACACAUAGACUGGUUUUAGAUCA
This 581-nucleotide long non-coding RNA is filed under the name Daucus carota (carrot). RNAcentral's name for it is "long non-coding RNA (DCAR_LNC006905)". The record is from RNAcentral. Lineage: Eukaryota; Viridiplantae; Streptophyta; Magnoliopsida; Apiales; Apiaceae.